RNAcentral lists this long non-coding RNA (296 nucleotides) under Homo sapiens (human). Its description in RNAcentral is "HSALNT0360655". The record is from RNAcentral. Lineage: Eukaryota; Metazoa; Chordata; Mammalia; Primates; Hominidae.
UCCCUCUGACCUCCUCCUAGUCACUAUCUCCCUGCUUGGAUUGAUUCCUUGGAGUGGAAUUAGUAAAAAGGAUAUGAAUAUUUUUAGUCUCUUGAUAUGUUAGACUGAUUUCCAGAAGGCUUGUACCAAUUUACUCUUCUACCGACAACUGUAAGAAUACCCUUCCUCCAUCAACAGCAUUGUGUAUUAGCUUUUAAGAAAAAUCUUUUCUAAUUUAAUAGGUUAAAAAAAUUCAUCUCAUUAUUUUAAUUUGAUAUGUAUUUUUAAAUGAGGUUGAAUAUAAUUUCCCAAGCUUA